RNAcentral lists this ribosomal RNA (253 nucleotides) under uncultured bacterium. RNAcentral describes it as "partial 16S ribosomal RNA". It matches the Rfam family "Bacterial small subunit ribosomal RNA", at positions 524 to 776 of the family's 1533-position model. The record is from RNAcentral.
UACGUAGGGUGCAAGCAUUAAUCGGAAUUACUGGGCGUAAAGCGUGCGCAGGCGGCUUUGCAAGACAGAUGUGAAAUCCCCGGGCUCAACCUGGGAACUGCAUUUGUGACUGCAUCGCUGGAGUGCGGCAGAGGGGGAUGGAAUUCCGCGUGUAGCAGUGAAAUGCGUAGAUAUGCGGAGGAACACCGAUGGCGAAGGCAAUCCCCUGGGCCUGCACUGACGCUCAUGCACGAAAGCGUGGGGAGCAAACAGG